RNAcentral lists this ribosomal RNA (221 nucleotides) under uncultured bacterium. RNAcentral's name for it is "partial 16S ribosomal RNA". It matches the Rfam family "Bacterial small subunit ribosomal RNA", at positions 30 to 252 of the family's 1533-position model. The record is from RNAcentral.
AUUGAACGCUGGCGGCGUGCCUAACACAUGCAAGUCGAGCGGUAACAGGUGUAGCAAUACAUGCUGACGAGCGGCGAACGGGUGAGUAAUGCUUUGGAAUCUUCCCAGUAGUGGGGAAUAACCAGUCGAAAGAUUGGCUAAUACCGCAUACGUCUGUAAAGGGAAAGCGGGGACGUCGCCUCUUCUUCGGUAAGAGAGGCCGUCGCGCUAUUGGUAGUGAG